AAGGGGUUAGGUUAAAUCAAGACCUUUAGCCUUCAAAGCUAAAAGUGAAAAAGUUUUCAGUCCUUA
Molecule: transfer RNA, 66 nt
Filed under: Branchiostoma lanceolatum (amphioxus)
Lineage: Eukaryota; Metazoa; Chordata; Leptocardii; Amphioxiformes; Branchiostomatidae
Description: tRNA-Trp
Source: RNAcentral